This 301-nucleotide ribosomal RNA is filed under the name uncultured bacterium. RNAcentral describes it as "partial 16S ribosomal RNA". It matches the Rfam family "Bacterial small subunit ribosomal RNA", at positions 509 to 807 of the family's 1533-position model. The record is from RNAcentral.
CAGUCGCCGCGGUAAUACGGAGGGGGCUAGCGUUGUUCGGAAUUACUGGGCGUAAAGUGCACGUAGGCGGCUUUGUAAGUUAGAGGUGAAAGCCCGGGGCUCAACCCCGGAAUUGCCUUUAAGACAGCAGAGCUAGCAGGUGAGAGAGGUGAGUGGAAUUCCGAGUGUAGAGGUGAAAUUCGUAGAUAUUCGGAAGAACACCAGUGGCGGAGGCGGCUCACUGGCUCAUACUGGACGCUGAGGUGCGAAAGCGUGGGGAGCAAACAGGAUUAGAUACCCGGGUAGUCCCUGUCUCUUAUAC